RNA transcript from Vespula pensylvanica (western yellowjacket), 2850 nucleotides. It is a transcript of the gene named NADPH:adrenodoxin oxidoreductase, mitochondrial-like, with no coding region annotated. Lineage: Eukaryota; Metazoa; Arthropoda; Insecta; Hymenoptera; Vespidae. The transcript has 5 exons. The record is from RefSeq and is a predicted model, not a curated record.
UUCUCAGUACAAACUAUUCUCAAUCGUAAACUUACUAUGUACUAUACGAACUUUCCCCUACGAUUAUGUCUAAAACUGCACAUAAGUUAAAUAAGAAAAAGUUUUAUUUAAGAUUAAAAAUAUAAUCGCGAUGGUAGUUUCAACUUGACGUUGUGUAAUUCUUCGCUAUAGAAGAAAAAAUUACUAAAGUAUGUAACGAUUGUUUUACAUAACCCGAUCGUAUUGUUAGCGAGAUAAUUGUUCCUCAGUACUAUUAUUUUAUACAAAUGAAAUAGUAUUAAAGGAAUUUCUAUUCAUUCAUGACGUACUAAACAGAUAAAACAUUCGGGUACACCGAUUUAUAUAAUUUUUUGUUGAUAUAAGCAGAGUGAAUAAUCUGUGCUUGAUCUUUUAUAUAGUAAACAUUUAUUAUGCUGCUAUAAAACAAUAUUUCUUAUAACAAAUGUUAUAUAAUCCUAUACAAAAUGCUUAAACAUAUUUAUUAUUUAUCAGAAUAAUAGUAAAUGAAUAUUUUGUUUAUUCAUGUUUUAUCUCUAUAUCAGAACUUAUAGAAACAGAAUAUAUACAAAUUAUUGAUCAAAAGUAAGAAAGAAGGAAUCAAAUACAAUGACGUAUGAGCAAACUUUUUUAAUUGAUAAAAAUGUUCCUUGUAUUACUGAGUUGUUUAGUAAAACUUUUCGAAUAGUGACAGAAGAAAAUUAUUCUUUACCUAGGCCAGAUUGUAUGUUUAAAGAAAAUCCGUGGUAUAUUAAAGAAUUACAGAUAUUGAAAGAACAAUUAAACGAAGUGAAAAAUCGUCUAAAUAGUUUUAAUCUGGGUGAGUGGCAUGAACAUACAAGUAAUAGAAACAAAGCAGGACAAGUUCAAUACCGUGUACGAAGAGAUAUCAAACCAGAAUUAGUGACACAAGCCUGGUGCAAAUUUUAUGAAAUAUUAAGUUUUUUUGAUGUUGUGCCACAAAAUGAAAUUAUAAAAAACAAUAAUAGUUUUACUUCUGUGCACUUAUGUGAAGCUCCUGGAGCUUUCAUAACAUCCUUAAACCAUUGGUUGAAAACAAAUACUAGAUUUAAUUGGAACUGGUUAGCUACAUCACUAAAUCCAUAUUAUGAAGGGAAUUCUUUGAAUAAAAUGAUUAAUGAUGAUCGUUUCAUUAUACAUACAUUGAAUCAUUGGUGUUUUGGCAAAGACAACACUGGAAAUCUUAUGGAUUUAAAGAAUUUAGAUGAACUUGUAAAAAAGGCAAAAGUAAAUGAUAAUAUAUUAUUGAUUACUGCUGAUGGAAGUAUAGAUUGUAUGGAUGUCCCAGGUGAACAAGAAACAGUUGUAUCUCAUUUACAUUAUUGUGAAACAGUUGCUGCAUUACACUUAUUAAAUGAAGGAGGAAGUUUUGUAAUAAAAAUAUUUACUACUUUUGAGCACAGUACCAUAUGUCUACUUUAUUUAUUAUCUUGUUGUUUCUAUAAAGUAUUUAUAACAAAACCAGCUACUAGUAAAGAAGGAAAUUCAGAAACUUAUGUUGUGUGCAUGAAUUUUAAAGGAUCAGAAUAUAUUGCACCUUAUUUACGAACAUUACAGAAAUAUUAUGAAUGUGGUCCUAGUACGGCAAUAUUUUGCAGAAAGGAUAUUCAUCCUGACUUUAUAACAAAAAUAAUAAACUGCAGUCAGUUUUUUAAAGAGAUACAAACAUCUGUCAUAAUGAACAAUGUAAUAUCUUUUAAAUCUAAUGAAGAAAUUGAAAACAAAAUCAUAAAUGAAAUAAAGAUUAUACAAAAACUUGUUGCUGAAAAAUAUUUGAAAGAUUGCAACUUAAAGCCAUUACCACCUGGCUGUGAAAUAGUGGAAAAAGAUGAAUCAAGAAAUAUAGUUUUUAUAAAAGCAGGUAGGAAACAAUUAUAUGAAUCAUAUGAUAAGCGCCGUGAAAAAGCAAACAAAUCACCAGUGCAACGUUUAAUAGAAUAUUGGGAUCUAACAAAAGAAAUCUUCAAUGGAGUAUCCAUGAGUAAAUCAUAUAAUUUUCAGUUUUCUGAUGAGCACAUAAUUCUAGAGUAUUGCAUAGGAAAACCAUUCUACAAAUUAUUUAAUUCAAGAUUUUGUAAUUCAAGAAUUUUAAAUAUACAAAUUGAUUUAGAAAAUAUUUUGGAUAUAUUGCAUCUGAAAAAGUUUUUUCCUUCUAAUGAAGAUACACACAACUUAUUACAAGAAUUACAUACAACUUUAAAUUGCAAAAUAUUGUGUUUUCAAUACACAGAUAUUCCUUGUGAUUCUAAAAUUAUUUCAAGACUUUGUCAACUAUUACAAAUGCUUGUAUAUAAAGACAGUCUUGUGUUGAUUGGUUAUUCUUUAUUAUCACGUUUAAAUGUUAGUCUUCUCUAUCUUUUGAGUUACACCUUUCAUUCAAUAGAAUUACAAUCUCAUGAUAAAGUAGGAUGCAUAAUAAUCUUGAAAAACUAUAAAAAUGAUGCAAGCAUACUUAAAAUUUGGGAGAAAAUUAAUAUUACUGAAAAUGCAUUACGGACAGAAGGAAAAACUAUAUUGUCUUUACUUCCUGUAUCAUAUUUAUGUGAUUGGGCUGCAUAUCCUAAGAUUGUGGAGUGCAAUCACUGGAUUAUUAAGAAAUAUCUUAAUUAUCUUAUAAAUAAUGCAAUGGAAAAGAUUAAUCAAUGUUAGAUAAAUUUUUAUAAAAAAAAGCACUAUAAUAGAGAUAUAAUAAAUAAUGUAUACGAAUUAAUAACUAUAAUGAAGUGUCAGACAAUAUUUAAUAAUAUACGCACAUUUUCUACUGAAAAUAUUAUACCAAAAGUAUGCAUUGUUGGUUCAGGACCAGCAGGUUUUUAUGCUGCUCAACAAUUA